CAGAAUAAACGGUUAGGAAGUGAAAGUGAAAGUCAGUCUCCAUUUUGUGUGGAGGGGACAAUACAGCAUUUCAGGAGUAAAAACACAGGUUUGAUUUAACACACCGAUGUUGGAGUGAAGUAAACGUGUGUCCUGCUGUAAUCUGGAGAAGGAGACAUGACCUCCAACAUGAGUGUGUCUGGAGAACAGGACUUAAAGAGAGACGAGAGAAUGAUGGAGGGAAAGAGAUCAGACUCACCAGAACCCAGCUGUGUGUCCAUGAAGAGUGACGCGUCAAUGGAUCAUCCAUUUCACUUCAGAGACGGAGCCAGUUCUCCUGAUGUGAGACCACAACAGAAGAAAUCAAACCUCAGCAGAAAUCAGCUGGACUCCAUAUUCAAGGAGCUGGAACACAAAGUCAUCACCCUGAUAAAGAAUGAGCUGAAGAGGUUUAGGAAGCGCCUGAGUCCAGAUUACCCAGCAUGCACUGAGAGGGAGGUGCAGGAUGAGGAGGAUCUGCACAGUGUCAGAGACGGAGCGCUGAAGAUCACACUGCAUGUCCUGAAGAACAUGAACCACACAGAUCUCGCUAACACACUGCAGAACAAGUCUGUGGCCUCUGUGUAUCAGACAAAGCUGAAAUCCAGCCUGAGAGAGAAGUUUAAAAGAAUUAAUGAAGGAAUCUCACAGCAUGGAAGCUCAGCACUUCUGAAUGAGAUCUACACAGAGCUCUACAUCACAGAGGGUUGGAGUGGAGACGUCAAUAAUGAACAUGAGGUGAGACAGAUUGAGACAGCGUCCAGGAGACCAGCAGCACAGGAGACACCCAUCAAAUGUAAUGAUCUCUUUAAAGACAAGUCCAUCAGAAGUGUGCUGACUAAAGGAGUUGCUGGAAUUGGAAAAACAGUCUCUGUGCAGAAGUUCAUUCUGGACUGGACUGAAGGAAAAGCAAAUCAGGACGUCACCUUCAUGUUUCCACUUCCCUUUAGAGAGCUGAAUCUGAUGAAGCAGGAACAUCUCAGUCUGAUGGAUCUUCUUCAUCACUUUUUCCCUGAAAUGAGAAAACUACAAUUAAUAGACUCCUACAAAGUGGUGUUGAUCUUUGAUGGUCUGGAUGAGUGUCGACUUCCUCUAAAUUUCCAGAAGAAUGAGAGACUGUGUGAUGUGACAGAGUCAGCCUCAGUGGAUGUGCUGCUGACGAACCUCAUCAAGGGGAAUCUGCUUCCCUCUGCUCUCCUCUGGAUCACCUCUCGACCAGGAGCAGCCAAUCAGAUCCCUCCUGAGUGUGUAGACCAGGUAACAGAGGUACGAGGGUUCAGUGAUCCUCAGAAAGAGGAGUACUUCAGGAAGAGGAUCAGUGAUCGGAGCCUGGCCGAUAAAAUCAUCUCACACAUGAAGUCUUCAAGAAGCCUCUACAUCAUGUGCCACAUCCCAGUCUUCUGCUGGAUCUCAGCCACUGUUCUAGAGAGAAUGUUGCGUGAAGCAGAGAGUGGACAGAUCCCCAAGACUCUGACUCAAAUGUUCACACACUUCCUGAUCUUUCAGAUCAAACACAAGGACCAAAAGUACCAUCAGAAAUGUGACCCUGAUCCUCAGCAGACCAGAGAGAGUAUCCUGGCACUGGGAAAACUGGCUUUCCAACAGCUGGAGAAAGGAAACCUGAUCUUCUAUGAGGAAGACCUGAGAGAGUGUGGCAUUGAUGUGAGAGAAGUGUCGGUGUACUCAGGAGUGUGUACCCAAAUCUUCAGAGAGGAGUUUGGGCUUCACCUGGGGAAGGUGUUCAGCUUUGUACAUCUGAGUGUUCAGGAGUUUCUGGCUGCUUUAUAUGCAUUUUUCUGCUUUAUUUUUAGAAAGACAAAUGUGUUAGUGGAGCAAAGCACUGGACGUUCUAAUUUCUUCAGAAAGUCAGACAUGUCUGAUCUCCUCAGGAGUGCAGUGGACAAGGCCUUACAGAGUGAGAAUGGACACCUGGACCUGUUCCUCCGCUUCCUUCUGGGUCUCUCACUGGAGUCCAAUCAGACUCUCUUACGAGGCUUAAUGCCACAGACAGGAAGCAGCUCUCACAGCAAACGGGAAACAGUCGAGUACAUCAAGGAGAAGAUCAGGGAGAAUCCAUCUCCAGAGAAAUCCAUCAAUCUGUUCCACUGUCUGAAUGAACUGAAUGAUCAUUCUCUAGUGCAGGAAGUACAGACUUACCUGAACAGAGGAGGUGACCGUCGUCUCAGUGGAACCAGACUCUCUCCUGCUCAGUGGUCAGCUCUGGUGUUUGUGUUACUGAACUCAGAUCAGGAGCUGGAUGUGUUUGAUUUGAGGAAAUAUGACCAAUCAGAGGAAUGUCUUCUGAAGCUGCUGCCAGUGGUCAAAGACUCCAGAAGAGCUGAGCUGUGUGGGUGUAAACUGACAGAGGAAAGCUGUAGAGUUCUGUCCUCAGUUCUCAGAUCAAACUCCUCCAGACUGAGAGAACUGAACCUGAGUGGAAAUAACCUGCAGGAUUCAGGAGUGAAGCUGCUCUCUGCUGGACUGGAGAAUCCACACUGUACACUGGAGAUACUGAGUCUGUGGGGGUGUGAUCUGACAGAGGAAAGCUGUAGAGUUCUGUCCUCAGUUCUCAGAUCAAACUCCUCCAGACUGAGAGAACUGGACCUGAGUGACAAUAACCUGCAGGAUUCAGGAGUGAAGCUGCUCUCUGCUGGACUGGAGAAUCCACACUGUACACUGGAGAUACUGAGUGUCCAAAGCCCGUGGUGGUGGCAGUGCAUGGCGUGUGUGGGAGCAGGUCUGUUGGGAGUGUUAAGUACCAUCUCAUACACUCAGCAAACAAUAUGGAUGGAACUUUCCAGAGUUGUGGUGUCACUUUCCUGCAAAGCUUUAACCAUCAGAGAGUUAUCUUUUACUGGGGCUUUUAGCUGCAGGAGACUGAAUUACUAACAGUUUUUUUUUGUGGAUCUGAUUUCUUCCUUCGCAGGAGUGGAUCUAAUCACAGCCUGUGAUAUUCGUCUGUGCACACAGGGUGCCUGGUUUCAGGUGAAGUCGUGUGUUCCCUGAUGGUCAAUGAUUGCUGGAGCUCUGGAAAUAGCAGGUGAGAUUGCAGGCCGGAGUCGCGUCGCUGUCCAGGGAACCAAAUCAACCUCCUCUACUCCUGAGACCACAGUGUAACUGAGAGCCUAGACUACAUGGCUACUUGGAACAUGAACAUGUUGCAGACACAGGAUCUUAUGAAGUCAGCGCAGACAGCCCUGGAAAAGAAGAGUCCGAAAGACGUGCCCUUCUCCAAGCUUUAAAGGAGAAGAUCCAGGGCUGUUGAAGCUGCCUGUUGAAUCAGCGGUGGAACUGAGACUUCAUCAUCCACAUAUCUUUAGUUCUUCUUGCUAAGUCUGAGUUUCUUUUUAGUCUUUUUAUUUUUAGACUGGUCAAAAGACUGAUUAGUGGAAGUGAAAUGAUAGAUGAACUUUUAAUUACUUGCUUUAUUAUUUGCAGGUGCCUUGUACAGUAAGACAGGGUAACUAAUACUCAAAAGCUUGUUUUGUGUGUUAACAUGUACAGUAGAUGUACAUAUUUUUUCUGGUGCUGUGUGACUGCAGAAUGUAGUGCAGUUAACACAUUAAAUUUCCUUGGAUGCUCACUUUUAACUCGAGGAGGUCACAGUUUGCCCAGACAUCUUUUUUUAAAUCCGUCAAUCCGUCACCCACACGUCAUUCUGGGGGACGAAGAGGAGGAAGCUGGACAGAUAAAUUUAUUUAUUUAUUUAUCAUUGCUGUGUUUCCUCAAUCGAGUGCAGAAAGAAGAAAAACAACACAACUGAUUUAAAAUAAAAAUAUAGAAAACAAUCUAAUGUAAGGUUCUGAUCCGUUUUGCUUUCAGCAGGAAGGCUGUCCUCUUUCCUGUUGCUCUUUCCCUUCUAUUAGUCCAUUUGUCCAGUCUGAAUCGGUUUGAUUCGUUUUGAGACGAUUCGGAGUCAAAUAAUUUUCUAGUGAGAGUCGCACACUUCCAAACGAACUAGACUGAGAUGAGUAUUUGAUUCUCACUAGAAAGUGAUUCGACUCUGAAUCAACUCGAAAUGAAUCAGUCAAACUGAUUCAGACUCUAUAAAAGGACUAUGAGAUGUGAUUAAGAUAUAUAUUCCAAUGUUUUGCUUUACAAUUCCACUGUGUGUGUGUGUGUGCGCGCGCGCGCGCGUGUGUUUUUCAGGAGAACGAGAAACUCUGACACAAGAGUACAUCCUGACCAUUGGUACUGUGUACACAUCAACAUACACACACGUCUCCAUGCUGGACAUCUCAGGAGCUUUCACACACAGUGCUAGGAAUAUCCCGGGACAGAGAAAUGCACCUUCUAAGUGAGCGAGUUUAGCGUCAACCGGUGAAAUUUGCUGUAGCGUGAACACUUCGCCUCUGUGAGCUUCACUCUCCGUCAGGUUCACUGUAAUUAGACAUAAAAUGUACAUAAAGUUUAUUUUUCAUACAGUUAGGAGUUAAUGUUUUUUUUUUUUUUUUUACUCUUCGAGGAACAGAAAUGAUCUUUCGAGGCAGCUUCUUCAUCACUACCUGCUCCGUUUGACUCAAAAAUGUAACGACCGUUUUCAAAAAGUCACGAUGUCUUCAGUUCAUGUGAUUUUACUGUUGAAUUUAAACAGGAAAUGUGAAAUAUUUUUGUUCCUUUGUUUCCUCUACUGUCUUUUUGCUGUGAUCUUGAACACAGUUGUAAUUUUUUUUUUAAUAAUAAAUAAUUGAUCAUUCUAGUUCUCUCACUUUCCUUGUCCUAAUUGUCCUGUAUCUGUUAAAUCCGUUUCAUCUCUGGUCUUUCUGUCUGUAUGAACACUUGUAGAAAUGACAUGAUGUCCAUAUUUUUAAAUGAUUCAUGAUUUUGAAUUUAAAUAAAGAUAUUCUUUAAUUCUGUAUUUUGUCAUUUAAUUAUCAUUAGAAAUCAGAAGAUCAGAUUAAAGCCACGGCUUCUUUACCUGCCGAAGCUGUAAAACUUUCAAUAAACCAGUCAAUAGAUCAGCUGAAUAAAUGUAGAUUUUUAAUUUACUGAUUAGAUGUAUUGAUGG
RNA transcript from Ictalurus furcatus (blue catfish), 5026 nucleotides. It is a transcript of the gene named NLR family CARD domain-containing protein 3-like, with no coding region annotated. The transcript is spliced from 11 exons. Lineage: Eukaryota; Metazoa; Chordata; Actinopteri; Siluriformes; Ictaluridae. The record is from RefSeq and is a predicted model, not a curated record.